Long non-coding RNA from Hyaena hyaena (striped hyena), 2855 nucleotides. RefSeq lists it as uncharacterized. Lineage: Eukaryota; Metazoa; Chordata; Mammalia; Carnivora; Hyaenidae. The record is from RefSeq and is a predicted model, not a curated record. The transcript has 3 exons.
CGCGGUGUGGCCCGAGGCCCUCGUCAUCAUCACACUGCUGACAGCAAGCCAUCUAACCUGGUCCGAGGUCCCAGGUAUGCAAAGAUACUGUUAUCAGACAGAACAUUCCAGCGGCUCCUAACCAGCUCAUGCCGGUCCGAGAAGGGCCAGGCCCUCCUUUGGAAUGUGCCAGAUGGCACAGCCUAAGCCUGCUGGGUUAACCCUUUACUGCCCAGCCAGCGUGAGAUGUGAGACGUCCACCUGGACCCGUGGGAGAUUUUGUGACCCUCAGGCAGCCCCUGCGUCCAGGCUACAGAAAGCCUGGGGACCCUGGGGCGUCUGGGGAAGCUGCUCCUCACUUCAAACCUCAGGAAAUGGCCUCCGAAGGGACCGGUGAGAUCUAGGCGAGUGUCUCCCGAAGUUCCAGAAGCCCAGGAGCUGACACUGGAUUCGCGCCUGGGAGAGCCCGGCGUGGCCGCUCUGGAUACAGGGCUUUGGGACCUGACCCCUUGCCCAGAUUGUCCUGGGAUCAAAACCCUGGGGUGUUUCUGGUGGCCGGAGGGAGAGACCCGGUGAGGGUCUUCCUGGGUCCCGGUCAAGGCCAUAAGGCCAGGACCAGAGCCAAAACCGAGAGUUGGAGGCUCAGCCGACUGAGCCGCCCAGGCGCCCCCGAGGAACGGAAGGGAACGAGGAAGCCCGCCCACGGGACCAUCCGUGGGGAACUUUCCUGUCCGGUUUCUACCCUCUGGAGAGCCCGAGACCCGUGAGCAAGACGUGGGACAGGGUCGGGGAAGCAUCUUUGUUGACUUCAGCCUGUCUGGCUCAAAGCUGGGGAAGGGGGACAGCCUCAGCCAAGAAAGAAGUGUCCAGGCUCCGAGCUGUGAGGCGAGAUGCCUGCCCUCCGCCGCGCCGUGGUCUGGAGAUGAUUCCUGAGCUUCAGCUCGGCCCUCAGGAGUUGCCUUCCGUCCACCUCCGUGCGCAGCCCACAGAGAGGAGAGGGGCUGCCCGGGGCACGCGUCCGGGAUGCUCGGCUGUCCCAGGACGGCCGGAAGCCAGGCGCGGAGAGGGGGCGCACCAGGAGUCACCAGGGACCAGCGUGGUUCUCACGCGGAACAGCAGGAGGCUGCGCUCUAACGCGGGGAACGUACGGUCUGGGAAGACAGAGCGAUGCUGGAGAAGCAUGCUCGGUGAACGCUUGCUACAUUGCGCCAAUUAAGCUAGAAAUUGUGCAUUUAAAUGUUACCUCCAGGCUGAACUCUGCGGGGGUAAAGUCUAGCAUACAAUUAACACACAGAGGGCGGAGGACUGAGCUCUCUCUCUCUCAGCUCUGACACAGAAGAGAGCAAAGAGUCUGAAAGGCAAGUUUAACAAACAACUCAUGACCACGACUACUGUGCUGACAAGGAAGGAAGGAAGGAAGAGAAAAGAAAAAUGUAGGGAACAGUUCAAAAAGGAGACGCUUGUUUAUUACAAGCAUCACAAGCGUUGACUUGAAAGAGUAUACAGAUGAAUUUUGCUUGUUCCUGACAGAAAUGUGAGCAGAAUGAAUGAUCAGAAUGCUUAAUUUUAAAAGAAAGGCAAAUGGCCAAAAUCAUAAGAAAAAAAAUGUUCCAGUAAAGGCAGAAUAAAACAAUCGGUUCGAUCCGAUUGAUUGAUUGUAAGCGUAGCAGAGAAACUAAGUGUGGAACAAUUUAAAUAACGAUCAAGUCAAACAAUGUAAAUGUCAAUCCAAAUGGGUGGGUUGCUUAAAUUAUGAUGAGUUAAAGAAUGGUGUGAAUAUGACCCUAUCCUGACAGAAACGUGGCUAUUUAUGGGUGUAGAUGUGUAUGAACAUAGGCACGGGCUGAAUGACUCAUGACGAAUUGGUGAUAGUUGACAUCAUAGAACUAUUCUUUUACUGACGAUAUUUACAUAUCAUAACAAGUAUGUAUCAAGAAAUCAAGAGGCAGACACUUGGGGCGUCUGGGGGGCUCAGUCAGUUGUUUCUGACUCAGUUUGGGCUCAGGUCAUGAUCUCCCAGUUCAUGGGGCCGAACCCCACGCUGCAGCGAGGAGCUUGCUUGGGCUUUGCUCUCUGACCCUCCCCACACCCCCUUCAAAAUAAAUAAAUGAACUGUAGGAAAGGAGGCAGACAGUGAGCCGACUGAGCCACCCAGGUGCCCCUAACCGGUGGCUGCUUAAAUCAAGUCCACCUGGUGGAUUAAGUCCAAGGGCUUCUUUGCUCCCUGUGCCCGUUCCAAACUCCCAGCGCCUUCCAGCUCGUUCCGUCCAGCACUCUGACCUGCCUCCGACCUCCCCGCAGUCAGCAGCCGACUUCUGGGUCACUGUCCCAACGUUCACGAGGGGGCAGGGCCCGCGGCUCUGCCUUCCGCUCCACCCGCACUCCCGCUUUAUCUCUUCCGGCGUCCGGAUCGUAGAAGUCGUCCCCACGAGCUGACCGCACCCCGCCCGGCAAGCCCGUUCCGUCUGCAGUCAGCGUGCUUUUCUCCGCGAUGACGUUUUUACCACGUGAAGCUACUUCUCCCUCCACAUCAGGUGAUGUCCGCAGGUGCUUGGAGAAAUUCCACUCUUAACUUUCUCAGCCUCCACAGAUGAGGAAGUCCUGCGAUACCUGUUCUUCCCUGACUUGUUUUACUCAGCAUAACACUCUCUAGUUCCAUCCACGUUGCUGCAAAUGGCAGGAUCUCAUCCUUUCUCAUCGCCGAGGAGUAUUCCGUGUAUAUAUAAGCCACAUCUUCUUUAUCCAUUCGUCAGUCGAUGGACAUUAGGGCUCUGCCCAUACUUUGUCUAUUGUCGAUAGCGCUGCUAUAAACAUGGGUGCAUGUGCCCUGUGCAUCAGCGUUUUUGUAUCCUUUGGAUAAAUUCCUAGUAGCGCAA